RNAcentral lists this ribosomal RNA (406 nucleotides) under uncultured bacterium. Its description in RNAcentral is "partial 16S ribosomal RNA". It matches the Rfam family "Bacterial small subunit ribosomal RNA", at positions 30 to 526 of the family's 1533-position model. The record is from RNAcentral.
AUUGAACGCUGGCGGCAGGCCUAACACAUGCACGUCGAACGAGUGGCGGACGGGUGAGUAAUGUCUGGGAAACUGCCCGAUGGAGGGGGAUAACUACUGGAAACGGUAGCUAAUACCGCAUACCAUCGGAUGUGCCCAGAUGGGAUUAGCGAGUAGGUGGGGUAACGGCUCACCUAGGCGACGAUCCCUAGCUGGUCUGAGAGGAUGACCAGCCACACUGGAACGUAGACACGGUCCAGACUCCUACGGGAGGCAGCAGUGGGGAAUAUUGCACAAUGGGCGCAAGCCUGAUGCAGCCAUGCCGCGUGUAUGAAGAAGGCCUUCGGGUUGUAAAGUACUUUCAGCGAGGAGGCGUUACUCGCAGAAGAAGCACCGGCUAACUACGUGCCAGCAGCCGCGGUAAUUC